GUCAUAAUCUCAGAUUCUCCAGAAAUCAUAAAGCACGGACAUUCUGAGACAUGGACAUCAGGAGUUUCUUGAGCUGCAAUGGAAAAUGUUACUGGAGGGAGUCCAUCUGAAGUGUUGUGAUGGAAGGAGGAUGUUAUGCACACUAUCUUCCAUCAAAAUCUUUUUAUUAACAUGUCCACCAGAGAACUCUGAUAUACCACCCACUGAAUUAGCCCAGGUAAAAAGUAAUGUCACAUCAGCAUCAGUCUUCCCUGAGUUAGAAAGCGUAAAUGUGAAUACAGUGACUGGGAAGCUGCUGUCCUUGUAAUUAUGUGGAAUAAAUGGUGAAAGCUGACGACAAACAAUGCUGAGUUCAGGAUCUGGAACACCAUCAUAUACAGUCCACGCUCUAGGGUACAAAGCAU
RNAcentral lists this unclassified non-coding RNA (404 nucleotides) under Hevea brasiliensis (rubber tree). The record is from RNAcentral. Lineage: Eukaryota; Viridiplantae; Streptophyta; Magnoliopsida; Malpighiales; Euphorbiaceae.